Passer montanus (Eurasian tree sparrow) is the source of this 259-nucleotide long non-coding RNA. RefSeq lists it as uncharacterized. The transcript has 3 exons. The record is from RefSeq and is a predicted model, not a curated record. NCBI's taxonomy places the organism in Eukaryota, Metazoa, Chordata, Aves, Passeriformes, Passeridae.
GCCGUGGCCGUGACUUUCGGGGAGCGGGUGCUGGGCCCCCUGGCCUGGGUGAUGCCCCUGGCCGUGGCUCUCUCCACCUUCGGCGGCGUCAACGGCUCCCUCUUCACCUGCUCCAGGCUGUUCUACGCGGGCGCCAGGGAGGGGCAGCUGCCGGCGCUGCUGGCCAUGAUCCACCUGCGGCGCCACACGCCCGUGCCCGCCCUGCUCGUCACCGUGAGAGCCCGAAAUGGGGGCAAAAAACGCGAUUUUGGGAAAAAAC